UCUGAGAAUUUGAUCUUGGUUCAGAUUGAACGCUGGCGGCGUGGAUGAGGCAUGCAAGUCGAACGGAAUAAUGACUUCGGUUGUUAUUUAGUGGCGGAAGGGUUAGUAAUACAUAGAUAAUCUGUCCUCAACUUGGGAAUAACGGUUGGAAACGACCGCUAAUACCGAAUGUGGUAUGUUUAGGCAUCUAAAACAUAUUAAAGAAGGGGAUCUUCGGACCUUUCGGUUGAGGGAGAGUCUAUGGGAUAUCAGCUUGUUGGUGGGGUAAUGGCCUACCAAGGCUUUGACGUCUAGGCGGAUUGAGAGAUUGACCGCCAACACUGGGACUGAGACACUGCCCAGACUUCUACGGAAGGCUGCAGUCGAGAAUCUUUCGCAAUGGACGAAAGUCUGACGAAGCGACGCCGCGUGUGUGAUGAAGGCUCUAGGGUUGUAAAGCACUUUCGCUUGGGAAUAAGAGAGAUUGGCUAAUAUCCAAUCGAUUUGAGCGUACCAGGUAAAGAAGCACCGGCUAACUCCGUGCCAGCAGCUGCGGUAAUACGGAGGGUGCUAGCGUUAAUCGGAUUUAUUGGGCGUAAAGGGCGUGUAGGCGGAAAGGAAAGUUAGAUGUUAAAUCUUGGGGCUCAACCCCAAGCCAGCAUCUAAUACUAUCUUUCUAGAGGGUAGAUGGAGAAAAGGGAAUUCCACGUGUAGCGGUGAAAUGCGUAGAUAUGUGGAAGAACACCAGUGGCGAAGGCGCUUUUCUAAUUUACACCUGACGCUAAGGCGCGAAAGCAAGGGGAGCAAACAGGAUUAGAUGCCCUGGUAGUCCUUGCCGUAAACGAUGCAUACUUGAUGUGGAUAGUCUCAACCCUAUCCGUGUCGUAGCUAACGCGUUAAGUAUGCCGCCUGAGGAGUACACUCGCAAGGGUGAAACUCAAAAGAAUUGACGGGGGCCCGCACAAGCAGUGGAGCAUGUGGUUUAAUUCGAUGCAACGCGAAGAACCUUACCUGGGCUUGACAUGUAUUUGACCGCGGCAGAAAUGUCGUUUUCCGCAAGGACAGAUACACAGGUGCUGCAUGGCUGUCGUCAGCUCGUGCCGUGAGGUGUUGGGUUAAGUCCCGCAACGAGCGCAACCCUUAUCGUUAGUUGCCAACACUUAGGGUGGGAACUCUAACGAGACUGCCUGGGUUAACCAGGAGGAAGGCGAGGAUGAUGUCAAGUCAGCAUGGCCCUUAUGCCCAGGGCUACACACGUGCUACAAUGGCCAGUACAGAAGGUAGCAAUAUCGUGAGAUGGAGCAAAUCCUCAAAGCUGGCCCCAGUUCGGAUUGUAGUCUGCAACUCGACUACAUGAAGUCGGAAUUGCUAGUAAUGGCGUGUCAGCUAUAACGCCGUGAAUACGUUCCCGGGCCUUGUACACACCGCCCGUCACAUCAUGGGAGUUGGUUUUGCCUUAAGUCGUUGACUCAACCUGCAAAGGAGAGAGGCGCCCAAGGUGAGGCUGAUGACUGGGAUGAAGUCGUAACAAGGUAGCCCUACCGGAAGGUGGGGCUGGAUCACCUCCUUUU
This 1550-nucleotide ribosomal RNA is filed under the name Cloning vector pRAK426. Its description in RNAcentral is "bacterial SSU rRNA". It matches the Rfam family "Bacterial small subunit ribosomal RNA". The record is from RNAcentral.